This 1018-nucleotide small RNA is filed under the name uncultured bacterium. RNAcentral's name for it is "bacterial SSU rRNA". The stretch from base 1 to 476 matches the Rfam family "Bacterial small subunit ribosomal RNA", at positions 1045 to 1533 of the family's 1533-position model. The record is from RNAcentral.
AUGGCUGUCGUCAGCUCGUGUCGUGAGAUGUUGGGUUAAGUCCCGCAACGAGCGCAACCCUCACUUUUAGUUGCCAUCAUUAAGUUGGGCACUCUGAAAGAACUGCCAGUGAUAAGCUGGAGGAAGGUGGGGAUGACGUCAAGUCCUCAUGGCCCUUACGUGUUGGGCUACACACGUGCUACAAUGGCAUCUACAACAGGAAGCAAAACGGCAACGUUAAGCAAAUCCCGAAAAGAUGCCUCAGUUCGGAUUGCACUCUGCAACUCGAGUGCAUGAAGCUGGAAUUACUAGUAAUCGUGGAUCAGCGUGCCACGGUGAAUGCGUUCCCGGGUCUUGUACACACCGCCCGUCACACCAUGGGAGUUGGUUCUACCUUAAGGCAAGGUUUUAAACCCUUGACCACGGUAUAGUCAGCGACUGGGGUGAAGUCGUAACAAGGUAGCCGUAGGGGAACCUGCGGCUGGAUUACCUCCUUUCUAAGGAUGAGUAAAAGUAAAAUUUUACUCUAAAUAAUAUACAUCGGUAAUGUUGACCGUCCUCAUUUCUCUUCUUAAAGUAAUGUUUCCUUCUUGUAGGGCCGGUAGCUCAGUUGGUUAGAGCACACCCUUGAUAAGGGUGGGGUCGAAAGUUCGAGUCUUUCUCGGCCCACCAAAAACCUAAAUGGGGGAUUAGCUCAUCUGGGAGAGCGCCUGAUUUGCAUUCAGGAGGUAGCAGGUUCGAUCCCUGUAUCCUCCACCAGGAAACAUUUAGUUAUUAAAACUGUAAAUAAAAAUAAUUUAUAUCAAUAUCUAUAUCCGAACAUUAAAAGUUAUUAUUUAAUGUUCAAAAUAAAAAUUUGAUCACAACAUGGAUAAAUUUUCUUUUAAAAGAAUUUUUUUCUGUGCAUAAAUCAAGCGUUUAAGGGCGUGUAGUGGAUGCCUUGGCACUGAAAGCCGAUGAAGGACGUGAUAUACUGCGAUAAGUUUCGGGGAGCUGUAUGUAAGCUUUGAUCCGAAAAUCUCCGAAUGGGGAAACCCGG